GGGAGGCAGCAGUAGGGAAUCUUCCACAAUGGGCGAAAGCCUGAUGGAGCAACGCCGCGUGGGUGAAGAAGGUCUUCGGAUCGUAAAACCCUGUUGUUAGAGAAGAAAGUGCGUGAGAGUAACUGUUCACGUUUCGACGGUAUCUAACCAGAAAGCCACGGCUAACUACGUGCCAGCAGCCGCGGUAAUACGNAGGUGGCAAGCGUUAUCCGGAUUUAUUGGGCGUAAAGGGAACGCAGGCGGUCUUUUAAGUCUGGUGUGAAAGCCUUCGGCUUAACCGGAGUAGUGCAUUGGAAACUGGGAGACUUGANUGCANAAGAGGAGAGUGGAACUCCAUGUGUAGCGGUGAAAUGCGUAGAUAUAUGGAAGAACACCAGUGGCGAAAGCGGCUCUCUGGUCUGUAACUGACGCUGAGGUUCGAAAGCGUGGGUAGCAAACAGGAUUAGAUACCCUG
Molecule: ribosomal RNA, 454 nt
Filed under: uncultured bacterium
Lineage: Bacteria
Description: bacterial SSU rRNA
Rfam family: Bacterial small subunit ribosomal RNA
Source: RNAcentral